UUUUAUCACAGGAAGCCACUCAACCUUGAGAAGCUGGCAUGAAAAGAAGUCUUUUGAUACAUUUGUGAAAUUUUUGAUGUCAGGGCAGAGGUGCACAAAAGAAUGUCUAAUUGAAUGAUCUCUGAGAAGGUGGCGAUGAAUGGGGAAAGAUCACAGCUGGCUGAUGCAUAAUUGCCACUUGAUUUGAGGGAUAUUCAAAUAUAUUUCAAGCUGCCAGAUGGUACGUGGUUCAGACUGCGAUGCUGUGGGAUCAAUGGGGACGAAAACAGUGGCUGUUUCCUGCAUAUGUGAUGUCUUCUGAAGGUGCUCAUUGGGUUUCACCGUCACCCUGUGAAUCUGGACUUUAUUGCAGGAAUCCGGUGAUGUGACGAAAAGGAGGUCUGCACUGUGCCAGUCCUCAGGUCAGUCCAUUCCUUCAUUCGUUUGCUGGUUUGCUCAUUUGUUCGUUCCUUCAUUCCUUCCUUCUUUGGAAUUUCCCUCCCAGGUCUCUUGAACUGUAGCCUGAAUUUGUUAUGGAGCUAAGAAUACCCGUGAACCUCUCAUUCUUCUACCUCAGACUCACGUCUCCUAAGCACUGGGA
Long non-coding RNA from Peromyscus californicus insignis, 580 nucleotides. RefSeq lists it as uncharacterized. The record is from RefSeq and is a predicted model, not a curated record. NCBI's taxonomy places the organism in Eukaryota, Metazoa, Chordata, Mammalia, Rodentia, Cricetidae. The transcript has 3 exons.